CAGAACUAUUCGAAAAAAGGCCGUGAAAUUGCAGAAAUAAAAAUGACAAAAUAAACACCAAAAUUCUAAAAAUAAAAUGGAAGUUUAGGACGACUUUUUAACCAAAUGGGUGUUUUUUAAAAAAUUAUUUACCUAAAAGGUGUACUUUUAAACAUAUUUACCAAACAAGGAUAUUUUGAAAUAAAUUCGCUACCCUGCUCCAGAACACGCGUUUACAUCAUGAUUCCUCCGGUGGCCUCCAUCUCCGGUCGGAUGCCGCCCUCUUCGGCCACACCAAACGUCGGCACUUAAUCCAUGUCAUUGAUUGCUGUCCUCCGACGCUUCCACCACGACCGCUCACCUCCGGCGCCUCCUCAGCCGCUACCAUCUCUAUCGAGAUUCAAAGAUUAGAUCUGGAUCCGAUAGCACAACAAAACCCUCAGAAAGAAAACUUCAAAGAUUAGAGAUUUCAUAUCUUAAUUCUGUUAAAGAAAGAGAGAGUUCUAAACUGUACUUUGUUAAAAGAUCGAUUAAAAGUUGUCUCCCAGUGUGUGUAUAGCUCAGUAAGUUUUUCAAGUAUCAAUUAGUCAAAUCGGUAAUCCGAUCUAAGAAGGUUGUAAUUAUGUUGGAAGACAAUGAAAUAAGAGCAAGAGAAGCGAGAUUACCGCGGGUAUAGACCGUAAUCCCAUAUUCCGGCGGAACCACGUGUCUAGUUGAUUUUCUUUCUUGUGUUACGUGUAUGUGAUUGAUCUAAUUGUAAAUAUUCAAAUUGAAGCUAAAACUAUUAUUAAUAGUUUUUGAUA
This is a long non-coding RNA of Lactuca sativa (garden lettuce), 782 nucleotides long. RefSeq lists it as uncharacterized. Lineage: Eukaryota; Viridiplantae; Streptophyta; Magnoliopsida; Asterales; Asteraceae. The record is from RefSeq and is a predicted model, not a curated record.